CGGGAAGCCUAAAUGGCGCAAGAAGGCAGUGUGUGAGAAUAUGGAGCCUCAGGAAGGGGAUGGAGCGGGAAAAAAAUCGAUGGUUGGGGAAAAAAAUGGACUCUUGCAAAGAACGCAGAAGGCAACAAUUGGCAGAUCCGAUAGCUCAGAGAGGAGAAAGGAAAGGCAGUGUGACCGGAGACAAAAUAUGCCAUAAUGACUUGGGCUUGACUGGGCAGGUGCUGAAGCGCAGACACACCCUGUCACAGUUAUGGGUUCACGUUCACAUUUCAUCAAGCCUCAUAAGCAGCCUGGACAUGGGCCAGCUCGGCACAAUACAGCACUAAAUUCAUAUUUACUUUCAUUUAGCAGAAGCUUUUGUCCACAGCA
Paramormyrops kingsleyae is the source of this 369-nucleotide non-coding RNA. The record is from RefSeq and is a predicted model, not a curated record. NCBI's taxonomy places the organism in Eukaryota, Metazoa, Chordata, Actinopteri, Osteoglossiformes, Mormyridae.